CUGGCACUUGAGAUUCCAGGUACCAACUUGCUUUUCAGAUGACUCGUGACCUCGCGCUAAACGUAGCAAUACAAACAAAUAGUGGUAUAGGCAAAAUUAACAUUACACCAAACAUAAGCACAAACUGCAUAAUAAUAAUUUACACUGCAUAACGAGAUCGUAGAAAGAAGAACCACUCAAUUCGGAGCUACGGUUAUUGAGUUAUGAGUUUCCGAAAUUAUUUUAGUGCUUAGAAUAGAUUAAUCCAAAUGAACAAUCUUAAUUCAUGUUUCAUGGCUAAACAGUGUUACUAGUUGAUAGAGAAUAUUGAAACAAAAUUAAUGCAACUGGAACGAGUUAAAAAGGAGUUAAAAUGGAUUUAAUAUAAAUUAAGCAAGUUUCUUGGAUUAUUUUUAUAACAAAAAUCAUUAAUAUAACUAUUUCAUAAACUUUCUGGGCUGGGGCCACUAUUUCUCAUAAGCACAUGGUUAAAUCUGCAAAUAAAAGGACCCGGUUGGAAUUAUGUUUGAACCAGCAUAGAUGGCGGGUUAGUUUGACCAUUCCCCGGGGGCUCUUUAGCAAAAGUCAUGGCCGAACGGGUAUCUGCGAAUUCAGGCCGUUGGAUCUGAAGCCCGCGGCCCAGAUUAGAUUGUCUCCAACCCGAAUUGGUAUCCAGCAUCGAUCGCACGAUUUAACAUCGACCGCCCAGAUUCGAUCACGGGUUCCGCGCGCUGGAUCACCAUCUAACGGUCCUGGUUCAUCCACUUCAUCUUCCUAUAGCCACAGUUGAUCACUAGAUCAAUGGACUCCAUGCUUCUUCCUGCUCCCGACUGCACGACAGGGCGGCGGAAGAAGAGCUCCGCCCCGAUAGCUCACCGAUGCCCGCGAAACCAACACCCCGACGACCGAACCCCAAUCGAAGUAGCAAAAAUGCGAAGCGGAACCCCAAUCGAGUAUUUUACCGACGGUGGAGCAGUGGAGAACCUGCCCCCAUGGUGAGAUGCGGCCCGACGGUGAUGUCCACGAACCGGUGAGCAAUUCGGCCUCCACCGAGAGUCUUCUCCUCGCUCAAGUGCCACAGACGUCAUCUAUGUACCCCAGCGGGUCGCCCAGACCAUGCGAC
RNAcentral lists this long non-coding RNA (1102 nucleotides) under Zea mays. RNAcentral's name for it is "long non-coding RNA (ZMAY_LNC001848)". Lineage: Eukaryota; Viridiplantae; Streptophyta; Magnoliopsida; Poales; Poaceae. The record is from RNAcentral.